RNAcentral lists this transfer RNA (58 nucleotides) under Dipodomys ordii (Ord's kangaroo rat). It matches the Rfam family "tRNA", at positions 8 to 63 of the family's 71-position model. From Rfam's summary of the family: Transfer RNA (tRNA) molecules are approximately 80 nucleotides in length. The record is from Rfam by way of RNAcentral. Lineage: Eukaryota; Metazoa; Chordata; Mammalia; Rodentia; Heteromyidae.
UGGCUCAGUGGUAGAGUGCUUGCCUCGCAUGCAUGAGGUCCUGGGUUCAAUUCCUCAG